This 621-nucleotide ribosomal RNA is filed under the name uncultured bacterium. Its description in RNAcentral is "bacterial SSU rRNA". It matches the Rfam family "Bacterial small subunit ribosomal RNA", at positions 338 to 961 of the family's 1533-position model. The record is from RNAcentral.
CCUACGGGAGGCAGCAGUGGGGAAUCUUGCGCAAUGCACGAAAGUGUGACGCAGCAACGCCGCGUGGAGGAAGAAGGCUCUCGGGUCGUAAACUCCUUUCAGUUGGGACGAAGCUUCGUCGGUUAAUAGCCGGCUGGAGUGACGGUACCUUCACAAGAAGCACCGGCUAACUACGUGCCAGCAGCCGCGGUAAUACGUAGGGUGCAAGCGUUGUCCGGAAUCAUUGGGCGUAAAGAGCGUGUAGGCGGCCCGAUUAGUCCGCUGUGAAAGUCCAGGGCUCAACCCUGGAAUGCCGGUGGAUACUGUCGGGCUCGAGUCCGGAAGAGGCGAGUGGAAUUCCUGGUGUAGCGGUGAAAUGCGCAGAUAUCAGGAAGAACACCAACGGCGAAGGCAGCUCGCUGGGACGGUACUGACGCUGAGACGCGAAAGCGUGGGGAGCAAACAGGAUUAGAUACCCUGGUAGUCCACGCCGUAAACGAUAGGGUACUAGGUGUGGGGGGUGGUCGACUCCCCCGUCGCCGAAGCUAACGCAUUAAGUACCCCGCCUGGGAGUACGGCCGCAAGGCUAAAACGUCAAAGAGUAGUGACGCGUGAGAGCGACGAGACGACGACGAGGAGAGG